GAUUAACGCUGGCGGCAUGCCUAAUGCAUGCAAGUAGAACGAGGUUUGUAGCAAUACAAACUUAGUUGCGAACGGCUGAGUAAUGGAUAGGAAUCUCCCCAAUGGUGUGGAAUACCUCAUCGAAAGAUGAGCUAAUACCGCAUAAGAUACGUGCUUUGCACUUAGUACAUAGUACAGAGUACUUAGUACCUAGAAACACAAAACUUUCUAUGUACUUUGUACUAAUUCCUGUGUACUACAUGCAGGGCAUGUAUGAAAGCGCUUAACUGCGCACCGAUGGAUGAGCCUAUCUCCCAUCAGGCUGUUGGUAGGGUAAUGGCCUACCAAACCUAUGACGGGUAGGGGGCGUGAGAGCGCGUUCCCCCAGAAUGGGACUGAGACACGGCCCAUACACCUACGGGUGGCAGCAACAGGGAAUCGUACACAAUGGACGAAAGUCUGAUGUCGCAAUGCCGCGUGGAGGAUGAAGGCCUUCGGGUUGUAAACUCCUUUUACAGUAAUAGAGAUGUUAUUGAGAAUAAGCACCUGCUAACUCUGUGCCAGCAGCCGCGGUAAUACAGAGGGUGCAAGCGUUAUCCGGAUUUAUUGGGCGUAAAGCGUUUCGUAGGUUCUAGGUAAGUUAUUCUUCAAAGACCACGGCUCAACCGGGGUAGGGGAGUAAGACUAUCUGGAUUGAAAUAUGGUGGGGCUUCCGGAACUGAUGGUGUAGUAGUAAAUACGUUGAUAUCAUCAGGAACUCCGAGGGCGAAGGCAGGAAGCUUAACCAUUUUUUGACACUGAGGAACGACAGCUAGGGGAGCGAAAGGGAUUAGAGACCCCUGUAGUCCUAGCCGUAAACUUUGCUCGCUAGGGGUUGUGAUUUAUCACUAGCCCCGUAAGCUAACGCGUUAAGCGAGCCGCCUGGGGAGUACGGCCGCAAGGCUAAAACUCAAAGGAAUUGACGGGGACCUGCACAACCAGUGGAGCAUGUGGUUUAAUUCGAGACGAAACGAAAGACCUCACCCAGCCUUGACAUGAUACCGUUUUAGGCGACCAGAAAUGGACGCCGAUCUUUAGAAAUAUUGAUGGUACCACAGGUGCUGCAUGGCCGUCGUCAGCUCGUGCCGUAGGGUGUUCCCUUCAGUGGGGUAACGAGCGCAACCCUUGCCACAAGUUGAAUAUUCUUGUGGGACUCCCUAAACUUAUUUUAGGGGGAAGUGAGGACGACGUCAGGUCAGCAUGGCCCUUAUAGCUGGGGCGACACACACACUACAAUGGAGCCGACAGAGGGUUGCCAAGCCGCAAGGUGGAGCUUAAUCCCAA
Molecule: ribosomal RNA, 1302 nt
Filed under: uncultured Microgenomates group bacterium
Lineage: Bacteria
Description: bacterial SSU rRNA
Rfam family: Bacterial small subunit ribosomal RNA
Source: RNAcentral